CCGAGGGAUAGCUCAAAUUUGACUUUUCUCGGGCCAUUCGAGUCAAGCCCGAGAGAGUCGAUUUUACUCGGGAUUUGCCUGAUCUGUCGAAGGCUGGAAGCGAGCUAAUGGAGAAGCGGAGCAGUAGAGGUCCGUGUCUUUCAGAGAAGGUAGAUUCAGCACUGGAUAUUCAAAAAAGCACGAAGACAAGGCAUGGUCGAAGGUAUCGAAGGAGAGGGAAAGGCUUUCACUAUGAACAUCACAUGACAUACUCUUCACUCCAACCUCAAUCAGAUUUUGGUUUGACCCAUCCGUCUGCGAUACAAAAACGAGAAAAUGGAAAGGAUUCAGUGAAAACAAGUGACUUUCCCUUGCCUGCAGCUAAAAACUUGGCGCCAUCAGCUGAAAAAGAAAAUUAUUGUUUGGCAAACACUGCAUUUCAUGGCUCCAGGAAUGUUUUUGUUCCAUCUGAGGUCCAUAUUUACAAUAAAAAAUGUUCUGAAAUUUCAACACAUGUAAAGGAAAUCAACAUGGCAAGAGUGAAUAAGAUAAAAUGCUUGACUAGCGAAUUUCAUGAAAAUGACAAUACAGACGCUGCAGUUUUACCUGACAAUAGAAGUUGUUUAGGUAACAAAAUGGAUAGCACACUUGUCGCAGUUGAGAGAGCAUUGAGAAGCCCUUGUCGAAAGAAGUUGCUCGUCCUCGAUCUCAAUGGUAUUCUCUGUGAUGUGGUUUUUGGUUCUCAUGGCUCUCGUUUGCCAUAUAAGAAGGUUAGCUUGCGAUCAGUCUUCAAAAGGCCUUUUUUGGAUGAAUUUCUUGCCUUCUGCUUUGAAAGGUUUGCUGUCGGCGUAUGGUCUUCGAGGAACAAGAAUAACAUUAUUGGAGUCAUCAAUUAUGUAAUGCGGGAUUCCAAAGACAGGUUACUUUUUUGCUGGGAUCAAUCUAAAUGCACAUUUACUGGGUUUAAUACAAUUGAGAAUAGGCAUAAACCAUUGGUGUUAAAGGAGUUGAUGAAGUUGUGGGACAAAGAGGAAGCGGACCUUCCAUGGGAGAAGGGAGAGUACUCUCCAUCAAAUACAUUGUUGAUUGAUGAUUCACCAUACAAGGCCCUCUCCAAUCCUCUGCACACCGCUAUUUUUCCUUCUCCAUAUGAUUUUCGAGACGAAGGGGAUAGCGUUUUAGGGCCAGGGGGAGCAAUUCGAGUUUAUCUGGAGAGUAUAGCCAUGGCUGAUGAUGUUCGAGAUCACGUGAAGAAACACUCAUUCGGCCAACAAGCUAUCACACCCGAACAUAAAAUGUGGAGCUUUUAUAAGAAUAUCAUCGAUAAGAAUGACCCCACGGCUUUAACCAGAUGAGCUGCAGGUUUAUGAAAGAAUUUAUUGGUCCAGAUUUGGCUCAAAGGUAGGAGUAUGGUCUUUUGGCUAAGUGGUCUCAGAAAGGAAACUUUUGCUUUGAUUCUUGAAGCAAUGAAGAAUAAAAAUGAUUAUUAUUUGGGUGAAUGUAAAUUGAAUGCAUUAAAAUGUUCGGACGUGGAUGAGGGUUGAUGCAAAGCGGCAGCAACGAGCAAUGGUACGCGGUAGCCUUGGCGGCUGGUGUGGCUCCGAGAUGAUGACAUGUUGGAAUAACCGACAAGUGCAUUGCUUGAUUUGAAAUAUAAUGAUUUGGGCAAUUCCCAAAUGUACAAUAAAUUGAUAUUUCGUAGUAUUUCAAAUCUCCCAAAAUUUUAUUUUAUUUUGUUUUGGUAUCAAGCCAACCAAACUGCACUGAAGUUUUAUGUCCAAACAGCACUUAAGCUCUGUGACCCUUUAUAUAAUUGGCCA
Phalaenopsis equestris is the source of this 1799-nucleotide RNA transcript. RefSeq lists it as uncharacterized. NCBI's taxonomy places the organism in Eukaryota, Viridiplantae, Streptophyta, Magnoliopsida, Asparagales, Orchidaceae. The transcript is spliced from 9 exons. The record is from RefSeq and is a predicted model, not a curated record.